CUACGGGCGGCUCCAGUGGGGAAUAUUGCACAAUGGGGGGAACCCUGAUGCAGCAAUGCCGCGUGAAGGAUGAAGGUUUUCGGAUUGUAAACUUCUUUCGCUGGGGAAGAAAAAAAUGACGGUACCCAGAUAAGAAGCCCCGGCUAACUAUGUGCCAGCAGCCGCGGUAAUACAUAGGGGGCAAGCGUUAUCCGGAAUUACUGGGUGUAAAGGGUGCGUAGGCGGCGAUGCAAGUCAGGUGUGAAAGCCCGAAGCUCAACUUCGGGACUGCACUUGAAACUGUGUUGCUAGAGUACAGGAGAGGUAAGCGGAAUUCCUAGUGUAGCGGUGAAAUGCGUAGAUAUUAGGAAGAACACCAGUGGCGAAGGCGGCUUACUGGACUGUAACUGACGCUGAGGCACGAAAGCGUGGGGAGCGAACAGGAUUAGAUACCCCAGUAGUC
RNAcentral lists this ribosomal RNA (442 nucleotides) under uncultured bacterium. RNAcentral's name for it is "partial 16S ribosomal RNA". It matches the Rfam family "Bacterial small subunit ribosomal RNA", at positions 339 to 795 of the family's 1533-position model. The record is from RNAcentral.